CACCCAACAGCUAGCCCAUUCUUC
RNAcentral lists this ribosomal RNA (24 nucleotides) under Aplocheilus panchax (blue panchax). RNAcentral describes it as "partial 16S ribosomal RNA". Lineage: Eukaryota; Metazoa; Chordata; Actinopteri; Cyprinodontiformes; Aplocheilidae. The record is from RNAcentral.